Molecule: long non-coding RNA, 758 nt
Organism: Fukomys damarensis (Damara mole-rat)
Lineage: Eukaryota; Metazoa; Chordata; Mammalia; Rodentia; Bathyergidae
Exons: 4
Source: RefSeq, a predicted model, not a curated record
UCAACAGCAGACCUAACUACUAUAGAGUAGGAGGCUGAGAUUGCAAACCCCUGGGGGCAGGGCCCUGCCUCUGCAAGUCCUGCUUAAUUCCAGGGACUUGGUGUUGCACCAGGAAAUCAUCAAGUUCCGGUGGUACCUUGAUUAGCCCCUGUCAACAGCUUCUUACUGGUGAAUGGCUUCUUACAUCCGCUUGGGACUUCACAAACAGUGGCAUUUUUUUCUCAUUGGAGCCAAAUGUUUCUCCAGAAAGAAAGUUUGUCAGCCCCCGGUUAAGGACUGCAUUUCUACUGUGACCUCAAAGCAGCCCGGUUUAGCAGAGAGAGCUGUGGACUGUUCUGCCAUUUAACUCUGCGAAAGACCUGAGAGACCUGACUGCCAAUCCGGCCACAGUUCUUUCAAUGAGAAAAGAAAAAGGGCCCAACGUGCUCAUGGCAACUGAAGUUUAUGGUUCAGAUUUCCAUAUGAACUCAGCAAGAAGUACAUGGACUGACAUUGGAACGGACCGUGGCAACUCUAAGUGCUGCUUCUCACCCAAAGGCGCUGAUGAGCUCGUGAUAAUGAAACUACACUUCUGAACCCAAACCUUGACCUGCAUUCUGGAGCAAUUAAAAGAAAACCUUAAUUUUGAAAGUACUGAGCACAGAGGGAGAAAAAAGCUGUUCCUCUGCAAGCUUUCUUUAUAUAUUUAGAAAUAUGGCUUAAUUUUUAAGGCUUGAAGACCGCAUUUUUAAAACGUCUAAAACUGUUCAGAAUCUAUA